UAAUCCUCUCUAUUAUUUUGUUGAGGCCUCUAAUCUUUACCGCAAUCUCACAACAUGUCUUGAGAUUCGAAAAGCAAGAGAAAGUUGCAAAUCCAUUGCAUGUAAUUAAUAUUCAUGAUAAUGAUGAUGAGUGUUCUCCUAGUAGAUUGCUCCCUUUAAACCUGGCCAUGUCGAUUAUAUCAUCAGCAUCAUACAUUGCAUCCUUCAGUUCACCAAUCCAAUUACUAACUGCUAAGUCUUCAAUCCUCCUCUGGUCAGCAUCUUUCAGAAAAUACUGUAUUUGUGUCAUUGUUUGUUGCAGGUUACUAAGCUCUUGUUUAACACCUAGUAUCUGUAUCGCUUCCUCUGUAAUAAGUUCUUGGAGCUUUUGGAUGCAUGAUCCCGCAAAAGAAAAUAAUAUGGUUGCCAUUAGGUGAAUCCGUGAAGCAAACCCACCACCACCAAUAUAUCUUUUCAGAGCUAAGAAAACCACUAAUAUGAGGGACUAGCUAGUGAGAUUCCUUGAACAAGCUUUCACAGUGUUAUUCCAUAAACGAUUGAACUUGAACCUGAAAGUUAUAAAGUUUACAGCAGUAUGUCAAAUCCGUACGCACUUGAAAGACGUACAACACCACAUGCUCCUAUGAGUACUCAUUAUAUUCUGUAAACUACGACUUGACAUAAUCUCACACUGAUUGCAAAGAGAAUAAAGGAUAUGUAAAUGAUGAAAGCACCUAGGAAAAAUUCACACCAUGCACUAGCGGGCAGAUAGACAAAACCAUCUUGGGUGGACUUAGGUGCAUCCAUCCAUGAGUUUUAGACUCCCUUAUGCACUAUAUUCCAGACUAAAAUCCAUGUAAUGGAUCUUUGAUUUCCUUUCACUCUAGCCAUUUGUGGAUAUUAUUCUUGUUUUUUGUGCAUUUAUAACUUCAUCUACAAUAAGGACUGAUUGCUAUGCAAAUAGGUCUAUCCUGCCUACUAGUAGAUAGCACCUAGCCUUCCGGAACUCAGGCUUCUGCUUGUAGUUGACUGAGUUUACAUGUUUUUGCUUUGACUUGCCAUUAUAUCUGUAUGUGGAAAGUAUACUCCUUAUUUUUUCAGUGUAAUUGACUCUUGUGUGCACAUUUAUUUCUGACUUAAGCGCUAGUUCCUGCUCAGCUAAAUAGAAAGAUAAACAUCAAAUGACUCAAACUGACUGAUUUGCAUAUUCUAGCAAUGUUUCCUUUCUAGCAACCUAACUGGUCACAUAUUUCCAUGCUCAUAUAUUUUCAACCCUCCUCUCAUACUAAAAACAGCUUAAAAUUUUCAAGAGUUGGUCGACUCAUUUAGCUUCUUUCAUCCAUAAAUCUACUCCAGAAAACCUGACCUUUCAAGUGCUAGUAAUGUUACAUUGCAAGUCAAAAGAAUAUAGGAGGCUGCAGGAUUUCAUUUCCAUGAAUGAGAAAUGGACGUAACUUGUAACAAUUCUUGGAAGAAGUUAGAAGAUUCCAGUGCGCUCAAGUGCACAAGCCUUACCUGAAUCACAGACCUAUUUUCAACAGGCCUGACUGACAAUAGAAGUCAAGGAUGCAAGAUCAUCCACCAGCAGCAACAACAGUUUGUUUCUGAAGGUCAACUCAAUACUGAAGGAAGAGGAACAAAGACUAAUUGCUCAAAUAAUAUCCCUCAAUGAACUGAACAUCGAUAGCCAAUAUGUGGUCGUCACCAUGAAAGAAAAAUGGAUAAAACUGAGAAGGGUAGUUGAAUUGAGAAAUAAAGAAUCUCUGGAUAGUACAGACCUUUGUGCACUACCAGAACUGCAAGCAGAUGACCUUAUUCUUCCUUGACUGGAGAAGACGCAGAGGAUCACUUCAAGCAGCAGUGUGAGGCAGUAAAUUCGAUAGAAUUCACAAUGGUAUCCCUCGAAAAAAAAAUAUCAACCGACAAUGAUACACGCCUGCAACUGCAACACAAGUUUGUGAGACUACUGACACUUCGUAACUAUGAAUUAAUCUUAAUGGAACACAUUGUGCUAACCAAUUAAUAGGCAGAUACAGAAUGAAGGAAAUACACCUCUUUCAAAGAAAGUACUGUCUCCCAAACCAGAUUGCCUCGCAUCCUCCUCUCCUUUUCCUCACUAUAGCAGAGGAAAUGUGAUGAGUAUUUAUCACUUCAAGCAAUUCACCAUAAUGAAAUAGAAACAGAUAAUUAUGAUGAGCCCAUCACCACAAAAAUGAGUAGUACAGUGUGGUAUGAGGUAUAAGGAGUUAGCAUUCUGUCAUUUUAUUUUGUGCUUUAAAACGAUGUAAUAAAUUGGGACAAUAUUUAGUAUCAUGCAAAAGAAACCUCUACUAUGAUUGUUUGAUUCACCAUGAGCAGACUUAUGGUAAUGACGAUGGAAACCAUGAGCAGAGCAAAAAACAUACCCUGAGCAGAGGCAGAGCAAACCAGAGCUAAAGGACGCAAAUCAGCAGAGAGGUAGCUGGAAACUGGAGAGCCAUCACUUCCUGGCUAAAAGCUUCAUCUUCCUUGUGUCACAUGAAUUGUGCAGCUGAAGGAGCAACUACUCUUCAAUCAUCUCUCUAACAGAGAGAAAAAUGAAGUGGUGCAUAAUCAACACAUGCAAAUCAAGCUUGAGCUAGGAGGAGAAAGAUUAUGAAAUCUGAAUCGUUAUGGACUAACUGUUCAAUUCGAGCUUACCAAACUGAAAGGAUAUGAUGCAGAGACAGAGGAGGAGGAUGAAAACGCAAGGAGCAGUUCCUACUGAAGCAUCCUCUCUGUUCCUCCUCUUAUCGGCAUCACUUGAACAUCGAGAAAAUGAAUUCUCUGGCAGAAAAUAGUGGACAAACUAUAGAACAGAUAAAUGUGUGACAACCACACAAUCACUGAAAACCAACAGAUCACACGUUAACUCCUGGAAAAAGUGGAGACACUAGAAAAUGAAUUCUCUAGCAGAAAACAAGUGCAUGAUCAACGAAAUGAGAAGAAAUAGGUGCAUGAUGAAGACACGUAUAUGAAGCGUGACUUAGGAAGAGAGACAGAGGAAAGAAAACAUCUGAACCCUUUAUGGACCAGACAAUCAAUUUGAGGUUACCAAAUUAAACAACGCAGAAACAGAGGAGCCAGUUGAAAACCCAAAUAGCACUUCCUACUCAACCAUCAUCCCUGUUCCUCCUCUUAUUGACAUCACUUGAGCAGCGAGAAAAUGAAAUCGUGCAGGAAGUUUGUAUGUAGAUUCACCAAUACUUCCCCCUUGCAACAGCGUUGGAUCUCAUUGAUCAGAAAAGCUUGGAAUUUCAGUGCAGCGGCAAGUGCAAUGACCUAACCUUGUAUAAGAAGAUGCAGAUAUGUCAUUGUUGAACAGGUCAUCUGUGGUUGGCGUCGGCGGCCGAGCGGGUCAAGGUCUCCGUCCUCUAGCAUGGGGAAGGGGCCAUGUAGCGUCGUCUAGCCAGUGACAUGCAACUGUAACGAUGGCACGUUACACCUAACAAGGGUAUUGAAAUCUGCCUAAUCUCCAUGCCCAGACACAAGGUCAAGGUCUGUGGUAUGGCCAUCGCUGUCAAGUGUGGAAGGUGAUUGACAAACAAUUGCAACGUCCCCUUGUUCAGACAGCAGUACUACACAGGCAGUCUGAACUUGUAUAGGAAUUGUGGCAUUUUCUGGCCCGAUUUUGAAACCCAAAUUGCUGUACGAUGAAAUGAACAAAAGCACUGAACAGUCAGGCCCCUGCAAAUUUUUCCAGGAUAUUUACUUUAUUCAUUCAAUUCCACUUUGCUGAGUGUUUUUUUCUCUUUUGCCGAGGGCCAAAAUUUGCCAAGUGCCUUUGGAUAUUUUUGUCGAGUGUAAGUCUUUGCUAAGUGUUUCCACUAACAACACCGGGCAAACAUACUAACGGAUGUACACGUGGCACGUUCUUUGCCGAGUGUCCAUGCGCGUUUUUGCCUAGUGUCUUUUGAUCUGUUUACCAUGUGUCGCGUUGUUUGCCGAGUGUUUUUGUGUUGACACUCGACAAAUAGCUUCUUUGCCGAGUGCUUGAUAGAAUACACUCGGCAAAGAACUUGGCACUCGGCAAACCCACAAUUUCCAGUAGUUUUGGGAGAGGUUCUUCACGUCAGGGAGCUCAAAAACGUGUCACUUUUUAUCUUUGAAUAAGAAACCUGUGACAUUGAAUGUGGCUUUAAAGAGUAAGCUGCAAAGUGGAAACUGCUUCCGAUAAAAGUAGUUGGAACUCUUUUUUUAAAAAAAAAGCAUUAUGCUGGAAACAUAUAAACAGAAAUGAGUACGAUUUCACCCAUAUUACGUGUAAGUUGCAGGCACCGGCCAAGAUAUGAUUUUAACCUGCAUUUCUUGUCGCUACUACAGAAUGAAUCUGCCUCGCAUUUCUCCUUGGUUGGUUCACAGAAGAUGCAUGACUAAAAUAAGUAAGAGCAGUUUUUUUUAUAUACAUUAAUGUUGGUAGGAACAGCGAAACAAGAGCUCACUUUUCCUAGCAGCAACAGAAAGCACGCAACAGCCGAUGCAGUUCUUCGCAUUACAAGAUCACAAUCUACAACAGGUGCAAGUUCAUCACAGAAUUAAUUGAGAAACUCAAGUAGCAGUGUAGCACACGUUUUCAUUCAUACAUACACCACAAGGAUGGUCAAACACUUAAAUAACAAGACGCAAGCCUUCCCACAGUCUAGAAACAAGAGAGGAAGCCGUCUGCUCAUCUUGAUUAAUUGCUGUGGUUAGCUCAUAUUUUAUUCUUUUUAUUGAUGGAAGUGGUUUGCUCAUCCUGAUUGCUGUGGUUCUUGAACAAUCAUUCUCCAGUCCUUCAUCCAGAAGCAUGCACUCCUUCCAUGCAUACAACGUCAUGUAGCUUCACGACCAAUCACAUGAUUAAGGAAAGAUAGCUCCAGUCACUUCCAAUGGCAAGAAAACAGAGCACGAAUGGAAAGCGGAGGAGAAAUAAAUAUGCAAAAUAUCCAGUGAAUGGUCAUACCUUGCACAUUCGUAGCUAUAUAAAAGUAUCACUCCUCCCAAGGGUAGACAUCCAGGUCUUCUCCGUGCAGCUGUUGGUGACGCUCUUGGAGUCCAGCUAGCCAUUGUGAGGAGACAUCUUCCAUAUCCUCUGUCAGAAACAGCUGGUGCAACUUGUCCAAACCCUCAACACACCUCAGAGCUUCACAUAGACCUACACGCAACAGUUUCAUCUGGGGAAUAUUUGAGAUCCUCUCCAGGCAUUCACAAUAUGAGACUGAAAGUUCCUCAGACAGAAAUGGGAAGUUCUCCACCACCUUAAUAUUGUCCAUGAAUUUUAAUCGGAGCUCCUUCAAGCUGGUGGCUUCCUGUCCAAGCUGCCGUGGAAGAGCUCUCAGCUUGGGGCAGCUGUAAAAAUCCAGGCCCUUCAAACGUGGCAGCAGCUGCAUCCUUGGAGGUGGGGCUUCCCCCUUUUGCUUUGCAGCAGCUCCAUCCUCUCCACCUUCCUUACCUGCUGCCGUUGCUUCUUCUUCUUCAACUACAAAGGUCCACUCCUCCCAGUUGGGCAUAUACCCGAUGGACAAAAUUUCAAGCUUGGGGAAAGCAACUGCCUCUGGAGAUCCGAAAUUACCCACCCCCAAGCCAAUAAAUUCAGGUCCAAUCUUGGUGACUGCAGUUGCUCCCUGGAUUCUCAGGAAUUUCAAGUUGGGAAGGUGCCCGAUUGGAGGAAGUUGCGUAUAGGAUUUGCAAUGUUUAAGUAUCAAGUAUUUUAGUGAAGGCAAAUGUCUAGCAGCACCUAACCAGGUAGGAAACCUCCGACCACAAAAUCGCUUCAAAACUAGAGCUUCCAGGUUUUUUGGAGGUAUUAGCUGAUCAAAUACCUUCUCAAUAUUACUAAUAACCUCUUCAGAGUAUGGUUCCUCCGCACAUUCAGUGCAAUAUAAAUAUAAUUCUUUAAGAUGCUUUUUAUUAGUUAGUAGUGAAUCUAUACUGCAAACAGCAGAUGCUUCCAAUUUUGUAAUAAGAAGCUGCCUCAACUGCAAAAGAGGACCCAACUCUUCUAGAUUCCAUCCAUCUUGCAUUGCAGUGCUAUAAUCACUUCUACCACAAAUUGGAAAUCCAUCUAAAUUAUUGAGGUAUUUCAAACCCCCAAUACCUUUUGGAACCUUAUUUAUUGCCGAACCUUUGAGACCAAGACUCCUUAAGUUAAAUAAUCUACAGAUUGCUAAAGGAAGGCUGUGCAAACUGUCACACUUGUUCAAUUCCAAUACCUCAAGGUUUUUGAGAGAACCAAUAGACUCCGGAAGGCAAGUUAUGCUGGUGUCAUUAAGAUUCAACAAGCGCAAAUGAAUCAAACUUCCAAUAUAAUCUGGAAUAUUUUCUACACUUGACCCACUUAAAUCCAAAACACGAAUAUAUGGAAAUCGCUUGAAAAUUGAAGAUUCAACUACCAAUGACUUGCCACAGAAAUUUAUUGAAGUUCUCACUUUGAGUUGAUGCCUGUCCACAAUAGGUAAAGAGAUCAUAUCAUUGCAUGUUACAACUGACACACGUCGCAAUUUAGAUAUACUCCUGCAAUCCAACGAUCGUGGGUCUCCAAAGAAACACUCUUCUCUUGAUAAAUGCUGAGCAAGUUGUCUUAAGAGGUCAUGCAUUGUGCACCUGUAUGGUUCUGCAUACCGAGGAUCUGGUAGGAGGAGGUUCCUUGAGACCAACUCACAGAAGUAUUCUUCUGCUGUAUCUUCUAGUAGUUGGUUAUUUUGCUUUUCAAUAAAGCCCUCGGCAAUCCAGAGCCUGACAAGAUCAUCACAACGUAGUGUCCAAUCUUCAGGAUACAAAGCACAGUAAAGAAAACAUUGCUUCAGGUUUUGUGGUAGCUGAUCAUAACUCAAGUACAAAGCACCUCUGAGUUCAGCAGGGAGCUUACUUAUGGACCAAGCAUCAUUGUCUAGAAUCUUCUGCCAUUCACUCUCUGUUGUCUCCUUCACUGCAAGAACACUAGCCAUAGUCCUAAUUGCAAGAGGAAGGCCACCACAUUUUCGAACAAUUUCCAUUCCUUUGUCCUGCACGUUGUGCACUUCUUUCUCAUCAGAUAUGUUCAUACUCUUCCAAAGCAGCUCCCAUCCUACUUCCACUGACAUCAAUUCGACUCGAUGCAUGUGUUCCACUCCAAUUGCCUUUGCAACUGUAUCAUGUCGAGUUGUUGUUACAAUUGUUACUUGAGCUGCAGCAUUGAGUGGAGUUCUUAGUAAAUUGGUCCAUACAUCAGACUCCCACAAGUCAUCCAACACAAGGAAAAAGCUGUCUCCUUCAAUGGCUUCUGCAAGUUUGGCUUGAAGCUCUCCGAUGCUUUCACAAUUUUCUUUGUCCACUCCAACAUUUCGAAGUAUUUCAUUCAAUAGAGCAACUUGAGAGUACUGUUGGGAAACGCAAAUCCAUGCAUACUUCUUAAAGUUACCCUUCACUCUUUGAUCAUUGUAUAUUUUCUGAGCUAGUGUUGUUUUUCCAACUCCUCCUGUUCCAACAAUUGCCAUCUUGUAAGCCUUCUUGUCCUUGUGUUCUAGCACCAACCCUACCAAUCUAUUGGUAGCAUGUAUGAUCUCUUUUCCAACAAGAUUUGGUUCUACCAGGUGGGAUGUUUUUCUCAUAUUUGAUACUAAUACUCUAUCAAUAGGUUCUGUUUCAAACUUGAAAUUUGUACCUAACUCUUUAAUCAUCUCUAUUCUUUUGUUGAGGCCUCUAAUCUGUACCGCAAUCUCAUGACGUGUCUUUAGAUUCAAAAAGCAAGAGAAAGUUGCAAAUCCAUUGCAUGUAAUUAAUUUUCUUGAUAAUGAUGAAGAGUUUUCUCCUAGUAGAUUGCUCCCUUUAAACCUGACCAUGUCAAUUAUAUCAUCAGCAUCAUACAUUGCAUCCUUCAGCUCACCAAUCCAAUUACUAACUGCUAAGUCUUCAAUCCUCCUCCGGUCAGCAUCUUUCAGAAAACACUGUAUUUGUGUCAUUGUUCGUUGCAGGUCACUAAGCUCUUGUUUAACACCUAGUAUCUGUAUCGCUUCCUCUAUAAUAAGUUCUUGGAGCUUUUGGAUGCAUGAUCCCGCAAAAGAAAAUAAUAUGGUUGCCAUUAGGUGAAUCCCUGAAGCAGACCCACCACCACCAAUAUAUCUUUUCAGAGCUAAGAAAACCAGUAAUAUGAGGGACUAGCUAGUGAGUUUCCUUGAGCAAGCUUUCACAGUGUUAUUCCAUAAACGAUUGAACUUGGACCUGAAAUUUAUAAAGUUUACAGCAGUAUGUCAAAUCCGUACGCACUUGAAAGAUGUACAACACCACAUGCUCCUAUGAGUACUCAUUAUAUUCUGUAAACUACUACUUGACAUAAUCUCACACUGAUUGCGAAGAGAAUAAAGGAUAUGUAAAUGAUGAAAGCACCUAGGAAAAAUUCACACCAUGCACUAUCGGGCAGAUAGACAAAACCAUCUUGGGUGGACUUAGGUGCAUCCAUCCAUGAGUUUUAGACUCCCUUAUGCACUAUGUUCCAGACUAAAACCCAUGUAAUGGAUCUUUGAUUUCCUUUCACACUAGCCAUUUGUGGAUAUUAUUCUUGUUUUUUGUGCAUUUAUAACUUCAUCUACAAUAAGGACUGAUUGCUAUGCAAAUAGGUCUAUCCUGCUAGUAGAUAGCACCUAGCCUUCCGGAACUCAGGCUUCUGCUUGUAGUUGACUGAGUUUACAUGUUUUUGCUUUGACUUGCCAUUAUAUCUGUAUGUGGAAAGUAUACUCCUUAUUUUUUCAGUGUAAUUGUCUCUUGUGUGCACAUUUAUUUCUGACUUAAGCGCUAGUUCCUGCUCAGCUAAAUAGAAAGAUAAACAUCAAAUGACUCAAACUGACUGAUUUGCAUAUUCUAGCAAUGUUUCCUUUCUAGCAACCUAACUGGUCACAUAUUUCCAUGCUCACAUAUUUCCAACCCUCCUCUCAUACUAAAAACAGCUUUAAAUUUUCAAGAGUUGGUCGACUCAUUUAGCUUCUUUCAUCCAUAAAUCUACUCCAGAAAAUCUGACCUUUCAAGUGCUAGUAAUGUUACAUUGCAAGUCAAAAGAAUAUAGGAGGCUGCAGGAUUUCAUUUCCAUGAAUGAGAAAUGGACGUAACUUGUAACAAUUCUUGGAAGAAGUUAGAAGAUUCCAGUGCGCUCAAGUGCACAAGCCUUACCUGAAUCAAAGACCUAUUUUCAACAGGCCUGACUGACAAUAGAAGUCAAGGAUGCAAGAUCAUCCACCAGCAGCAACAACAGUUUGUUUCUGAAGGUCAACUCAAUACUGAAGGAAGAGGAACAAAGACUAAUUGCUCAAAUAAUAUCCCUCAAUGAACUGAACAUCGAUAGCCAAUAUGUGGUCGUCACCAUGAAAGAGUCACGAUUACUCUGCUUGAAAGGGAAAGAAAAAUGGAUAAAACUGAGAAGGGUAGUUGAAUUGAGAAAUAAAGAAUCUCUGGAUAGUACGGACCUUUGUGCACUACCAGAACUGCAAGCAGAUGACCUUAUUCUUCCUUGACUGGAGAAGACCCAGAGGAUCACUUCAAGCAGCAGUGUGAGGCAGUAAAUUCGACAGAAUUCACAAUGGUAUCCCUCGAAAAAAAAAUAUCAACCGACAAUGAUACACGCCUGCAACUGCAACACAAGUUUGUGAGACUACUGACACUUCGUAACUAUGAAUUAAUCUUAAUGGAACACAUUGUGCUAACCAAUUAAUAGGCAGAUACGGAAUGAAGGAAAUACACCUCUUUCAAAGACAGUACUGUCUCCCAAACCAGAUUGCCUCGCAUCCUCCUCUCCUUUUCCUCACUAUAGCAGAGGAAAUGUGAUGAGUAUUUAUCACUUCAAGCAAUUCACCAUAAUGAAAUAGAAACAGAUAAUUAUGAUGAGCCCAUCACCACAAAAAUGAGUAGUACAGUGUGGUAUGAGCUAUAAGGAGUUAGCAUUCUGUCAUUUUAUUUUGUGAUUUAAAACGAUGUAAUAAAUUGGGACAAUAUUUAGUAUCAUGCAAAAGAAACCUCUACUAUGAUUGUUUGAUUCACCAUGAGCAGACUUAUGGUAAUGACGAUGGAAACCAUGAGCAGAGCAAAAAACAUACCCUGAGCAGAGGCAGAGCAAACCAGAGCUAAAGGACGCAAAUCAGCAGAGAGGUAGCUGGAAACUGGAGAGCCAUCACUUCCUGGCUAAAAGCUUCAUCUUCCUUGUGUCACAUGAAUUGUGCAGCUGAAGGAGCAACUACUCUUCAAUCAUCUCUCUAACAGAAAGAAAAAUGAAGUGGUGCAUAAUCAACACAUGCAAAUCAAGCUUGAGCUAGGAGGAGAAAGAUUAUGAAAUCUGAAUCGUUAUGGACUAACUGUUCAAUUCGAGCUUACCAAACUGAAAGGAUAUGAUGCAGAGACAGAGGAGGAGGAUGAAAACGCAAGGAGCAGUUCCUACUGAAGCAUCCUCUCUAUUCCUCCUCUUAUCGGCAUCACUUGAGCAUCGAGAAAAUGAAUUCUCUGGCAGAAAAUAGUGGACAAAGUAUAGAACAGAUAAAUGUGUGACAACCACACAAUCACUGAAAACCAACAGAUCACACGUUAACUCCUGGAAAAAGUGGAGACACUAGAAAAUGAAUUCUCUAGCAGAAAACAAGUGCAUGAUCAACGAAAUGAGAAGAAAUAGGUGCAUGAUGAAGACACGUAUGUGAAGCGUGACUUAGGAAGAGAGAGAGAGGAAAGAAAACAUCCGAACCCUUUAUGGACCAGACAAUCAAUUUGAGCUUACCAAAUUAAACAACGCAGAAACAGAGGAGCCAGUUGAAAACCCAAAUAGCACUUCCUACUCAACCAUCAUCCCUGUUCCUCCUCUUAUUGACAUCACUUGAGCAGCGAGAAAAUGAAAUCGUGCAGGAAGUUUGUAUGUAGAUUCACCAAUACUUCCCCCUUGCAACAGCGUUGGAUCUCAUUGAUCAGAAAAGCUUGGAAUUUCAGUGCAGUGGCAAGUGCAAUGACCUAACCUUGUAUAAGAAGAUGCAGAUAUGUCAUUGUUGAACAGGUCAUCUGUGGUUGGCGUCGGCGGCCGAGCGGGUCAAGGUCUCCGUCCUCUAGCAUGGGGAAGGGGCCAUGUAGCGUCGUCUAGCCAGUGACAUGCAACUGUAACGAUGGCACGUUACACCUAACAAGGGUAUUGAAAUCUGCCUAAUCUCCAUGCCCAGACACAAGGUCAAGGUCUGUGGUAUGGCCAUCGCUGUCAAGUGUGGAAGGUGAUUGACAAACAAUUGCAACGUCCCCUUGUUCAGACAGCAGUACUACACAGGCAGUCUGAACUUGUAUAGGAAUUGUGGCAUUUUCUGGCCCGAUUUUGAAACCCAAAUUGCUGUACGAUGAAAUGAACAAAAGCACUGAACAGUCAGGCCCCUGCAAAUUUUUCCAGGAUAUUUACUUUAUUCAUUCAAUUCCACUUUGCUGAGUGUUUUUUUCUCUUUUGCCGAGGGCCAAAAUUUGCCAAGUGCCUUUGGAUAUUUUUGUCGAGUGUAAGUCUUUGCUAAGUGUUUCCACUAACAACACCGGGCAAACAUACUAACGGAUGUACACGUGGCACGUUCUUUGCCGAGUGUCCAUGCGCGUUUUUGCCUAGUGUCUUUUGAUCUGUUUACCAUGUGUCGCGUUGUUUGCCGAGUGUUUUUGUGUUGACACUCGACAAAUAGCUUCUUUGCCGAGUGCUUGAUAGAAUACACUCGGCAAAGAACUUGGCACUCGGCAAACCCACAAUUUCCAGUAGUUUUGGGAGAGGUUCUUCACGUCAGGGAGCUCAAAAACGUGUCACUUUUUAUCUUUGAAUAAGAAACCUGUGACAUUGAAUGUGGCUUUAAAGAGUAAGCUGCAAAGUGGAAACUGCUUCCGAUAAAAGUAGUUGGAACUCUUUUUUUAAAAAAAAAGCAUUAUGCUGGAAACAUAUAAACAGAAAUGAGUACGAUUUCACCCAUAUUACGUGUAAGUUGCAGGCACCGGCCAAGAUAUGAUUUUAACCUGCAUUUCUUGUCGCUACUACAGAAUGAAUCUGCCUCGCAUUUCUCCUUGGUUGGUUCACAGAAGAUGCAUGACUAAAAUAAGUAAGAGCAGUUUUUUUUAUAUACAUUAAUGUUGGUAGGAACAGCGAAACAAGAGCUCACUUUUCCUAGCAGCAACAGAAAGCACGCAACAGCCGAUGCAGUUCUUCGCAUUACAAGAUCACAAUCUACAACAGGUGCAAGUUCAUCACAGAAUUAAUUGAGAAACUCAAGUAGCAGUGUAGCACACGUUUUCAUUCAUACAUACACCACAAGGAUGGUCAAACACUUAAAUAACAAGACGCAAGCCUUCCCACAGUCUAGAAACAAGAGAGGAAGCCGUCUGCUCAUCUUGAUUAAUUGCUGUGGUUAGCUCAUAUUUUAUUCUUUUUAUUGAUGGAAGUGGUUUGCUCAUCCUGAUUGCUGUGGUUCUUGAACAAUCAUUCUCCAGUCCUUCAUCCAGAAGCAUGCACUCCUUCCAUGCAUACAACGUCAUGUAGCUUCACGACCAAUCACAUGAUUAAGGAAAGAUAGCUCCAGUCACUUCCAAUGGCAAGAAAACAGAGCACGAAUGGAAAGCGGAGGAGAAAUAAAUAUGCAAAAUAUCCAGUGAAUGGUCAUACCUUGCACAUUCGUAGCUAUAUAAAAGUAUCACUCCUCCCAAGGGUAGACAUCCAGGUCUUCUCCGUGCAGCUGUUGGUGACGCUCUUGGAGUCCAGCUAGCCAUUGUGAGGAGACAUCUUCCAUAUCCUCUGUCAGAAACAGCUGGUGCAACUUGUCCAAACCCUCAACACACCUCAGAGCUUCACAUAGACCUACACGCAACAGUUUCAUCUGGGGAAUAUUUGAGAUCCUCUCCAGGCAUUCACAAUAUGAGACUGAAAGUUCCUCAGACAGAAAUGGGAAGUUCUCCACCACCUUAAUAUUGUCCAUGAAUUUUAAUCGGAGCUCCUUCAAGCUGGUGGCUUCCUGUCCAAGCUGCCGUGGAAGAGCUCUCAGCUUGGGGCAGCUGUAAAAAUCCAGGCCCUUCAAACGUGGCAGCAGCUGCAUCCUUGGAGGUGGGGCUUCCCCCUUUUGCUUUGCAGCAGCUCCAUCCUCUCCACCUUCCUUACCUGCUGCCGUUGCUUCUUCUUCUUCAACUACAAAGGUCCACUCCUCCCAGUUGGGCAUAUACCCGAUGGACAACGUUUCAAGCUUGGGGAAAGCAACUGCCUCUGGAGAUCCGAAAUUACCCACCCCCAAGCCAAUAAAUUCAGGUCCAAUCUUGGUGACUGCAGUUGCUCCCUGGAUUCUCAGGAAUUUCAAGUUGGGAAGGUGCCCGAUUGGAGGAAGUUGCGUAUAGGAUUUGCAAUUUUUAAGUAUCAAGUAUUUUAGUGAAGGCAAAUGUCUAGCAGCACCUAACCAGGUAGGAAACCUCCGACCACAAAAUCGCUUGAAACGUAGAGCUUCCAGGUUUUUUGGAGGUAUUAGCUGAUCAAAUACCUUCUCAAUAUUACUAAUAACCUCUUCAGAGUAUGGUUCCUCCGCACAUUCAGUGCAACGUAAAUCUAAUUCUUUAAGAUGCUUUUUAUUAGUUAGUAGAGAAUCUAUACUGCAAACAGCAGAUGCUUCCAAUUUUGUAAUAAGAAGGUGCCUCAACUGCAAAAGAGGACCCAACUCUUCUAGAUUCCAUCCAUCUUGCAUUGCAGUGCUAUAAUCACUUCUACCACAAAUUGGAAAUCCAUCUAAAUUAUUGAGGUAUUUCAAACCCCCAAUACCUUUUGGAACCUUAUUUAUUGCCGAACCUUUGAGACCAAGACUCCUUAAGUUAAAUAAUCUACAGAUUGCUAAAGGAAGGCUGUGCAAACUGUCACACUUGUUCAAUUCCAAUACCUCAAGGUUUUUGAGAGAACCAAUAGACUCCGGAAGGCAAGUUAUGCUGGUGUCAUUAAGAUUCAACAAGCGCAAAUGAAUCAAACUUCCAAUAUAAUCUGGAAUAUUUUCUACACUUGACCCACUUAAAUCCAAAACACGAAUAUAUGGAAAUCGCUUGAAAAUUGAAGAUUCAACUACCAAUGACUUGCCACAGAAAUUUAUUGAAGUUCUCACUUUGAGUUGAUGCCUGUCCACAAUAGGUAAAGAGAUCAUAUCAUUGCAUGUUACAACUGACACACGUCGCAAUUUAGAUAUACUCCUGCAAUCCAACGAUCGUGGGUCUCCAAAGAAACACUCUUCUCUUGAUAAAUGCUGAGCAAGUUGUCUUAAGAGGUCAUGCAUUUUGCACCUGUAUGGUUCUGCAUACCGAGGAUCUGGUAGGAGGAGGUUCCUUGAGAUCAACUCAAAGAAGUAUUCUUCUGCUGUAUCUUCUAGUAGUUGGUUAUUUUGCUUUUCAAUAAAGCCCUCGGCAAUCCAGAGCCUGACAAGAUCAUCACAACGUAGUGUCCGAUCUUCAGGAUACAAAGCACAGUAAAGAAAACAUUGCUUCAGGUUUUGUGGUAGCUGAUCAUAACUCAAGUACAAAGCACCUCUGAGUUCAGCAGGGAGCUUACUUAUGGACCAAGCAUCAUUGUCUAGAAUCUUCUGCCAUUCACUCUCUGUUGUCUCCUUCACUGCGAGAACACUAGCCAUAGUCCUAAUUGCAAGAGGAAGGCCACCACAUUUCCGAACAAUUUCCAUUCCUUUGUCCUGCACGUUGUGCACUUCUUUCUCAUCAGAUAUGUUCAUACUCUUCCAAAGUAGCUCCCAUCCUACUUCCACUGACAUCAAUUCGACUCGAUGCAUGUGUUCCACUCCAAUUGCCUUUGCAACUGUGUCAUGUCGAGUUGUUGUUACAAUUGUUACUUGAGCUGCAGCAUUGAGUGGAGUUCUUAGUAAAUUGGUCCAUACAUCAGACUCCCACAAGUCAUCCAACACAAGGAAAAAGCUGUCUCCUUCAAUGGCUUCUGCAAGUUUGGCUUGAAGCUCUCCGAUGCUUUCACAAUUUUCUUUGUCCACUCCAACAUUUCGAAGUAUUUCUUUCAAUAGAGCAACUUGAGAGUACUGUUGGGAAACGCAAAUCCAUGCAUACUUCUUAAAGUUACCCUUCACUCUUUGAUCAUUGUAUAUUUUCUGAGCUAGUGUUGUUUUUCCAAUUCCUCCUGUUCCAACAAUUGCCAUCUUGUAAGCCUUCUUGUCCCUGUGUUCUAGCACCAACCCUACCAAUCUAUUCAUAGCAUGUAUGAUCUCUUUUCCAACAAGAUUUGGUUCUACCAGGUGGGAUGUUUUUCUCAUAUUUGAUACUAAUACUCUAUCAAUAGGUUCUGUUUCAAACUUGAAAUUUGUACCUAACUCUUUAAUCAUCUCUAUUCUUUUGGUGAGGCCUCUAAUCUGUACCGCAAUCUCAUGACGUGUCUUUAGAUUCGAAAAGCAAGAGAAAGUUGCAAAUCCAUUGCAUGUAAUUAAUUUUCUUGAUAAUGAUGAAGAGUUUUCUCCUAGUAGAUUGCUCCCUUUAAACCUGACCAUGUCAAUUAUAUCAUCAGCAUCAUACAUUGCAUCCUUCAGCUCACCAAUCCAAUUACUAACUGCUAAGUCUUCAAUCCUCCUUCGGUCAGCAUCUUUCAGAAAACACUGUAUUUGUAUCAUUGUUCGUUGCAGGUCACUAAGCUCUUGUUUAACACCUAGUAUCUGUAUCGCUUCCUCUAUAAUAAGUUCUUGGAGCUUUUGGAUGCAUGAUCCCGCAAAAGAAAAUAAUAUGGUUGCCAUUAGGUGAAUCCCUGAAGCAGACCCACCACCACCAAUAUAUCUUUUCAGAGCUAAGAAAACCAGUAAUAUGAAGGACUAGCUAGUGAGAUUCCUUGAACAAGCUUUCACAGUGUUAUUCCAUAAACGAUUGAACUUGGACCUGAAAUUUAUAAAGUUUACAGCAGUAUGUCAAAUCCGUACACACUUGAAAGACGUACAACACCACAUGCUCCUAUGAGUACUCAUUAUAUUCUGUAAACUACUACUUGACAUAAUCUCACACUGAUUGCGAAGAGAAUAAAGGAUAUGUAAAUGAUGAAAGCACCUAGGAAAAAUUCACACCAUGCACUAGCGGGCAUAUAGACAAAACCAUCUUGGGUGGACUUAGGUGCAUCCAUCCAUGAGUUUUAGACUCCCUUAUGCACUAUGUUCCAGACUAAAACCCAUGUAAUGGAUCUUUGAUUUCCUUUCACACUAGCCAUUUGUGGAUAUUAUUCUUGUUUUUUGUGCAUUUAUAACUUCAUCUACAAUAAGGACUGAUUGCUAUGAAAAUAGGUCUAUCCUGCCUGCUAGUAGAUAGCACCUAGCCUUCCGGAACUCAGGCUUCUGCUUGUAGUUGACUGAGUUUACAUGUUUUUGCUUUGACUUGCCAUUAUAUCUGUAUGUGGAAAGUAUACUCCUUAUUUUUUCAGUGUAAUUUUCAAGAGUUGGUCGACUCAUUUAGCUUCUUUCAUCCAUAAAUCUACUCCAGAAAACCUGACCUUUCAAGUGCUAGUAAUGUUACAUUGCAAGUCAAAAGAAUAUAGGAGGCUGCAGGAUUUCAUUUCCAUGAAUGAGAAAUGGACGUAACUUGUAACAAUUCUUGGAAGAAGUUAGAAGAUUCCAGUGCGCUCAAGUGCACAAGCCUUACCUGAAUCAAAUACCUAUUUUCAACAGGCCUGACUGACAAUAGAAGUCAAGGAUGCAAGAUCAUCCACCAGCAGCAACAACAGUUUGUUUCUGAAGGUCAACUCAAUACUGAAGGAAGAGGAACAAAGACUAAUUGCUCAAAUAAUAUCCCUCAAUGAACUGAACAUCGAUAGCCAAUAUGUGGUCGUCACCAUGAAAGAAAAAUGGAUAAAACUGAGAAGGGUAGUUGAAUUGAGAAAUAAAGAAUCUCUGGAUAGUACAG
RNAcentral lists this long non-coding RNA (16839 nucleotides) under Setaria italica (foxtail millet). RNAcentral's name for it is "long non-coding RNA (SITA_LNC006083)". The record is from RNAcentral. Lineage: Eukaryota; Viridiplantae; Streptophyta; Magnoliopsida; Poales; Poaceae.